CCUCCCCCCUCCCUCCCCUAGUGGUCCUUACCCUCCUCUUCCUUCCUGCCUAUGUAGCUUCGGAACGCGAACUUCUGUUUCCUGUACCCGGCUGCCGGCGGACUGAAGGGAAGCGCUGACUGAGUGAGCACUUCCUCUCAGUCGGACGGCAGCCGGGUACAGGAAACAGAGGUUCCUGUCCCGCGCCGCCUGGCCACGCUACAUUGAGAGACCAGCAGGAGGAAGCGCUUUGCGCUUCCCUCCUGCCGAUCACUCAAAUCCGGCCGCCCUCCAUACAGCAGUGCUGCGCCGCCUGAGGCUUGCAAAAGUACUCAGGCGGCGCAGCAUGAGGAGCUGCACCGGUGAUUCCUAGGUCGCCUUACAGGUAGCGCCGGCCCUGGGUGUAACCAGGUACAUUUAGAAAGGGACAUUUUCUACUGAAAUCUGCACUUUUCGCAAGAAAAACAAGUAAAAGAGGACACACUCUUCACAUAUAGAGGUUUUCAGCAAGCUUAAGUGCUUUAGGGAUCUGGAGAGUACCUCCAAUUCGAGACUUCUGAACACUGCACAAUAAAGUGACACUAACACAAUAAUUUAGAUUUGUGUCUCUGAAAAAACAUUUGUACCUUGCUGAUAUAUGAAUUCAAUAAUUAUGCUAAAUUAAACUUUAUGUAAAAAAAUAAGAUAUUUUGUCAACUAAGUAUUUGCACUAACAGUUUAAAAGAAAUAUGCAGUGUGUUUUAGGGUUUAAAAUUAGAUUGUGUGCAGUGAAAUCACUAAACUUGGUAUUGUGAAUAAAUAAUAAGAGAAUUGAACAUUUUAGGCCAAAAUGGGAAAACAAAAAAUCCAACUUAUCUAUUUUCCACAACGCUAUAGGCCUAAACAUUCCUUCAGUGAUUACAGACAAAGGAUACAGGUGCUGAAAGUAAAGUGUGGAGAAUAGAACUAUAUAGCUGUAUGCAUCUAGCAGGAGUUACAAAUCUCCUUCCUUCAGUAAUUCCUCAGUAGCUGCAGUAUGCGCUAAUUUAGAUACUGUGGUUCCAUUUUACUGUCUUCCACUAAUUUCCACUAAUAUUGACAAGAUGAAAUUGUAUAUUUCAGGCAGAUGAGUUAAAUAUUUAUCACAAUGGCAUUGUUAAGUGUACUAAUUGAGUUCUUUAUUAACAAUCUUAAUAUCAUUAUUUAACAACUGCUCCUAACCAAAGCAGAAGAAAAAAAAUGCAAGAUUUACUGUUACCUUCCAGAUGAAUGUUAACACAAAGGAAUUAUAUUCAAGUAUGUACAGGUUUUUGUUUUUUUUAAAUAUUUGGCAAAUUUUUUUUACAAAAAAGUGAAAUUGCUGUCUUGCGACCACAGAUUAAGGUUGCAGCCUGAGUAACAAGUUAUUCCCAGUAUUCAUGCAAGUGGAGCUAUGUUCACGAUAUUAAUGGAUUUGUUUUGGCGAGUUGACAACUUGCUUAGUAAAUAAAGGGCAAGGUACCCGAGUUUUAGAAAAUCUACAACUCAGAGAUGGAUUUUUUUUAUGGCCUACAUUUUUCAAAUCACUUGUCAAGUGUCAACCCAACGAAACUCAGUACUGAAUAAACACGUUGAUGUUAUUUCUAACUAAAGCAUACUUGUUGACAAAUGUACUCAUUUGUAUGUACUGCAGAAGCUGACGUUUUUAACUUCAACAAACAUUCAUAGCAUAGGGGCUUGCAGGUAACUACUGGCUUAUUACUUUGGACAAAAAUUACCCCUUUGUCAGACUACCAGCAUGCUCUUCAUCUGAAGUCAGAUAAAAGUAAUUUAUUUGAUGUAAAUGUAUUAUAAACACCAGACAUAGUAUAAAAACAAUAUUCAUUUAUUGUAUACUACGUAGGCUAUGAUUAAGAAAAUGCUACUGGCCACCACUGAGGGAGUUGUCAAAAGUCCACUUUGCUCUAGGUAUUAUUUAGUCACAUAAUAAGUAUUGCUGAUGACUUAUGUUUUACCACCUAUUAGUAGAGCUUAUCUUUCUGAAUAUUGAUACACUGGGAAGAAAGCAGAAAGCUGGGACUAUGGAUCCAUUGAACUGAAUAUGAAUUAAGAAUGAAAUAAAAUGAGCAAAAACGU
RNAcentral lists this long non-coding RNA (2073 nucleotides) under Pelobates cultripes (western spadefoot toad). Lineage: Eukaryota; Metazoa; Chordata; Amphibia; Anura; Pelobatidae. The record is from RNAcentral.